RNAcentral lists this ribosomal RNA (253 nucleotides) under uncultured bacterium. Its description in RNAcentral is "partial 16S ribosomal RNA". It matches the Rfam family "Bacterial small subunit ribosomal RNA", at positions 524 to 776 of the family's 1533-position model. The record is from RNAcentral.
UACGAAGGGGGCUAGCGUUGCUCGGAAUCACUGGGCGUAAAGGGUGCGUAGGCGGGUCUUUAAGUCAGGGGUGAAAUCCUGGAGCUCAACUCCAGAACUGCCUUUGAUACUGAAGAUCUUGAGUUCGGGAGAGGUGAGUGGAACUGCGAGUGUAGAGGUGAAAUUCGUAGAUAUUCGGAGGAACACCAGUGGCGAAGGCGGCUCGCUGGCUCGAUACUGACGCUGAGGUGCGAAAGCGUGGGGAGCAAACAGG